GAUGAAGAACGUAGCGAAAUGCGAUACUUGGUGUGAAUUGCAGAAUCCCGUGAACCAUCGAGUCUUUGAACGCAAGUUGCGCCCGAAGCCAUCAGGUUGAGGGCACGUCUGCCUGGGCGUCACAUAUCGUUGCCCAAUGCCUAUUGCAGUGCAAUAGGAAUUUCUAGGGCGAAUGAUGGCUUCCCGUGAGCGUUGUUGCCUCGCGGUUGGUUGAAAAUCGAGUCCUUGGUAGGGUGUGCCAUGGUAGAUGGUGGUCGAGUUAGAACGAUACCGAUCAUGUGCAUGCUCCCCAAAAUAUGGCCUCUAUGACCCACACGCGUCUUUUGACGCUCAUGACGAGACCUCAGGUCAGGCGGGGCUACCCGCUGAAUUUAAGCAUAUCAAUAAGCGGAGAA
Molecule: unclassified non-coding RNA, 395 nt
Filed under: soil metagenome
Description: partial contains 5.8S ribosomal RNA, internal transcribed spacer 2, and large subunit ribosomal RNA
Rfam family: 5.8S ribosomal RNA (bases 1-122)
Source: RNAcentral